UACGUAGGGUGCGAGCGUUGUCCGGAAUUACUGGGCGUAAAGAGCUCGUAGGCGGUUCGGUUAGUCGGGUGUGAAAACUUUGGGCUCAACCCAAAGCGUGCACUCGAUACUGCCGUGACUAGAGUUCGGUAGGGGAGUGGGGAAUUCCUAGUGUAGCGGUGAAAUGCGCAGAUAUUAGGAGGAACACCGGUGGCGAAGGCGCCACUCUGGGCCGAAACUGACGCUGAGGAGCGAAAGCGUGGGUAGCAAACAGG
This 254-nucleotide ribosomal RNA is filed under the name uncultured bacterium. Its description in RNAcentral is "partial 16S ribosomal RNA". It matches the Rfam family "Bacterial small subunit ribosomal RNA", at positions 524 to 776 of the family's 1533-position model. The record is from RNAcentral.